RNAcentral lists this non-coding RNA (24 nucleotides) under Arabidopsis thaliana (thale cress). Lineage: Eukaryota; Viridiplantae; Streptophyta; Magnoliopsida; Brassicales; Brassicaceae. The record is from RNAcentral.
GCUAUGGCCUUCGAAGACGACGAC